Molecule: transfer RNA, 85 nt
Filed under: Gammaproteobacteria bacterium
Lineage: Bacteria; Pseudomonadati; Pseudomonadota; Gammaproteobacteria
Also listed under: 2 other names
Description: tRNA-Leu
Rfam family: tRNA
About the family: Transfer RNA (tRNA) molecules are approximately 80 nucleotides in length.
Source: RNAcentral
GCUGGGGUGGUGGAAUUGGUAUACACGCUGGUUUUAGGAACCAGUGCUUCACAGCUUGCGGGUUCGAGUCCCGCCCCCAGUACCA